AUUGAACGCUGGCGGCAUGAUUUACACAUGCAAGUCGAACGGUAACAGGCCGCAAGGUGCUGACGAGUGGCGAACGGGUGAGUAAUGCAUCGGAACGUGCCCAGUCGUGGGGGAUAACUACUCGAAAGAGUAGCUAAUACCGCAUACGAUCUAUGGAUGAAAGCGGGGGACCGUAAGGCCUCGCGCGAUUGGAGCGGCCGAUGUCAGAUUAGGUAGUUGGUGGGGUAAAGGCUCACCAAGCCAACGAUCUGUAGCUGGUCUGAGAGGACGACCAGCCACACUGGGACUGAGACACGGCCCAGACUCCUACGGGAGGCAGCAGUGGGGAAUUUUGGACAAUGGGCGCAAGCCUGAUCCAGCAAUGCCGCAUGCAGGAAGAAGGCCUUCGGGUUGUAAACUGCUUUUGUACGGAACGAAACGGCUCUGGUUAAUACCCGGGGCUAAUGACGGUACCGUAAGAAUAAGCACCGGCUAACUACGUG
RNAcentral lists this ribosomal RNA (482 nucleotides) under uncultured bacterium. Its description in RNAcentral is "partial 16S ribosomal RNA". It matches the Rfam family "Bacterial small subunit ribosomal RNA", at positions 30 to 507 of the family's 1533-position model. The record is from RNAcentral.